UAUCACGACAAAUUUAUUAAGUUCAGAA
RNAcentral lists this small RNA (28 nucleotides) under Bombyx mori (domestic silkworm). Its description in RNAcentral is "ovarian small RNA-23498". Lineage: Eukaryota; Metazoa; Arthropoda; Insecta; Lepidoptera; Bombycidae. The record is from RNAcentral.